RNAcentral lists this transfer RNA (77 nucleotides) under Bacteroides sp. RNAcentral describes it as "tRNA-Val". It matches the Rfam family "tRNA". From Rfam's summary of the family: Transfer RNA (tRNA) molecules are approximately 80 nucleotides in length. Their secondary structure includes four short double-helical elements and three loops (D, anti-codon, and T loops). Further hydrogen bonds mediate the characteristic L-shaped molecular structure. tRNAs have two regions of fundamental functional importance: the anti-codon, which is responsible for specific mRNA codon recognition, and the 3' end, to which the tRNAs corresponding amino acid is attached (by aminoacyl-tRNA synthetases). tRNAs cope with the degeneracy of the genetic code in two manners: having more than one tRNA (with a specific anti-codon) for a particular amino acid; and 'wobble' base-pairing, i.e. permitting non-standard base-pairing at the 3rd anti-codon position. RNAcentral also lists the same sequence under 3 other names. Lineage: Bacteria; Pseudomonadati; Bacteroidota; Bacteroidia; Bacteroidales; Bacteroidaceae. The record is from RNAcentral.
GGAGGCGUAGCCCAGUUGGUUAGAGCGCCACGUUGACAUCGUGGAGGUCACAAGUUCGAGCCUUGUCGUCUCCACCA